GAUGAACGCUGGCGGCGUGCCUAAUACAUGCAAGUCGAGCGAACAGACGAUGAGCUUGCUCCUCUGACGUUAGCGGCGGACGGGUGAGUAACACGUGGAUAACCUACCUAUAAGACGGGUAUAACUUCGGGAAACCGGCGCUAAUACCGGAUAAUAUAUUGAACCGCAUGGUUCAAUAGUGAAAUACGGUUUUUCUGUCUCUUCUAGAUGGAUCCGCGCCGCAUUAGAUAGUUGGUAAGGUAACGGCUUACCAAGGCAACGAUGCGUAGACGAACUGAGAGGGUGAUAGGCCACACUGGAAGUGAGACACGGUCCAGAGGCCUACGGGAGGCACCAGUAGGGAAUCUGCCGCAAUGGGCGAAAGCCUGACGGAGCAGCGCGGAGUGAGUGAUGAAGGUCUCCGGAUCGUAAAACUCGGUUAUUAGGGAAGAACAAAUGUGUACGUAAAUAUGCACGUCUUGACGGUAACUAAUCAGAAAGCAACGGCUAACUACGUG
Molecule: ribosomal RNA, 497 nt
Filed under: uncultured bacterium
Lineage: Bacteria
Description: partial 16S ribosomal RNA
Rfam family: Bacterial small subunit ribosomal RNA
Source: RNAcentral